GACGAACGCUGGCGGCGCGCUUAAUACAUGCAAGUCGAGCGAGAACCGGAGCUUCGGCUCCGGGGACAGCGGCGAACGGGUGAGUAACACGUGGGUAACCUGCCCUCGGCACCGGGAUAGCCCGGGGAAACCCGGAUUAAUACCGGAUGGCCCUUUCGGUCUUCGGACCGGUCGGCAAAGGUAGCUUCGGCCUCCGGCCGAGGAUGGGCCCGCGGCGGAUUAGCUUGUUGGUGAGGUAACGGCUCACCAAGGCUCCGAUCCGUAGCUGGUCUGAGAGGACGAUCAGCCACACUGGGACUGAGACACGGCCCAGACUCCUACGGGAGGCAGCAGUAGGGAAUCUUGCGCAAUGGGCGAAAGCCUGACGCAGCGACGCCGCGUGCGGGAAGACGGCCUUCGGGUUGUAAACCGCUUUCAGGAGGGACGAAGCCACUCGGGUGAAUAGCCCAGAGGGUGACGGUACCUCCAGAAGAAGCCCCGGCUAACUACGUGCCAGCAGCCGCCGUAA
RNAcentral lists this ribosomal RNA (508 nucleotides) under uncultured bacterium. RNAcentral describes it as "partial 16S ribosomal RNA". It matches the Rfam family "Bacterial small subunit ribosomal RNA", at positions 28 to 523 of the family's 1533-position model. The record is from RNAcentral.